RNAcentral lists this ribosomal RNA (792 nucleotides) under uncultured bacterium. RNAcentral's name for it is "bacterial SSU rRNA". It matches the Rfam family "Bacterial small subunit ribosomal RNA", at positions 8 to 796 of the family's 1533-position model. The record is from RNAcentral.
AGAGUUUGAUCAUGGCUCAGAACGAACGCUGGCGGCGUGCUUAACACAUGCAAGUCGCGUGCGCAGUUUCCGUAGCAAUACGGGGAUGGGCGCACGGCGCACGGGUGCGUAACACGUGGGCAAUCUGCCCUCCGAUGGGGAAUACCCCCGCGAAAGCGGGACUAAUUCCGCAUAACAUUCCUUGGAUUAACUUUCGAGGAUUCAAAGCAGCAAUGCGUCGGAGGAGGAGCCCGCGCCCGAUUAGCUAGUUGGUGAGGUAACGGCUCACCAAGGCAAUGAUCGGUAGCUGGUCUGAGAGGAUGGCCAGCCACACUGGAACUGAGACACGGUCCAGACUCCUACGGGAGGCAGCAGUGGGGAAUCUUGCACAAUGGGCGAAAGCCUGAUGCAGCGACGCCGCGUGGGGGAUGAAGCUUUUCGGAGUGUAAACCCCUUUCGACUGGGACGAAUGCCUCGCAAGAGGAGUGACGGUACCAGUAUAAGAAGCCCCGGCUAACUACGUGCCAGCAGCCGCGGUAAGACGUAGGGGGCCAGCGUUGUUCGGAAUUACUGGGUGUAAAGGGUUCGUAGGCGGUGUGGCAAGUCGGGAGUGAAAUCUCUGGGCUCAACCCAGAGACUGCUUCCGAAACUGCUGUGCUUGAGUGUGAGAGAGGCUCGUGGAAUUGCAGGUGUAGCGGUGAAAUGCGUAGAUAUCUGCAGGAACACCCGUGGCGAAAGCGGCGAGCUGGAUCACUACUGACGCUGAGGAACGAAAGCUAGGGGAGCAAACAGGAUUAGAUACCCUGGUAGUCC